CCCCUCCUUCCCUGUCAAUUCCAACCCCCCCUUCCCUACCAUUGUUGUAGCUGGCAGAGCUCUACAUGAUCCGCGGCUACAUGAUCCUGUACCCGGCCGGACUAAAAGGAAGUGCACACCCAGUGUUAGUCCAGCCAGGUGCAGGAGACAGAUGCUCCCUGUACCCGCGGACCAAUACAGGGCUCGGCCACGCUACAGUGAGGGAGUGACAGGAUGGAGCGCUGAGCGCGGGCAAUGUCAGGAGAGAGCGCUUUGCCCGGGCAAAGAGGCAGCCGCCUGAGGCUCUCUACAGAGCACCCAGGCCGCUGCAGCAUUAGGGGGGCCGGCAC
Molecule: non-coding RNA, 329 nt
Organism: Pelobates cultripes (western spadefoot toad)
Lineage: Eukaryota; Metazoa; Chordata; Amphibia; Anura; Pelobatidae
Source: the annotation of a GenBank genome assembly